GAAGUGAACAUACCUAGAGAUGCAUGUUUAGGCAGGAGAUAGUCUACAAUAUGGCCUUGUUCUUAGAACAUUAGAGAGAUGGAGUUUUUCUCAGCAUGCUAAAAACGGUAUGCAGAUGAAGAGAAAAUACUAGGAAGUAAACUGCUGGUCACUGUUUCUGCAAAAAGGCACCUAAAGAUCUCUAUGUUGGACAUCAAGUUACAAUCAAGUUACCGACAGAAGUAAUGGAUUGAAGAUUAAAUGAUUUAAUCAAAACCAUCUAACUCUUGACAAUUCUUUCAUCAUCAAGAAGGCGGGGGAGGAGAAGUGUGAAAAGCGU
RNAcentral lists this long non-coding RNA (319 nucleotides) under Homo sapiens (human). Its description in RNAcentral is "HSALNT0251878". Lineage: Eukaryota; Metazoa; Chordata; Mammalia; Primates; Hominidae. The record is from RNAcentral.